UCUUCUUGAAUUCUUCUUCUUCCUUGGUGGAUCACCUCUAGAGGCCAAACACUUGGGUGGCUAACGUUGAUCAAAGGAAGGAACCAAACCCGGUGGAUUCAAGUUAAACGCGAAAAGGAUUGGAGGUGAACUUGUACCUGAGGAAGCUCGGAUCUUCAAGGGUAUGAUUCUUGUUCUUUCUUUUUCGUUUAAUUAAUAAUUG
This 202-nucleotide long non-coding RNA is filed under the name Panax ginseng (ginseng). RNAcentral describes it as "long non-coding RNA (PGIN_LNC015772)". The record is from RNAcentral. Lineage: Eukaryota; Viridiplantae; Streptophyta; Magnoliopsida; Apiales; Araliaceae.